This is a long non-coding RNA of Astatotilapia calliptera (eastern happy), 1029 nucleotides long. Lineage: Eukaryota; Metazoa; Chordata; Actinopteri; Cichliformes; Cichlidae. The record is from Ensembl.
GUCAUCCAAAAAUCAAUAAUCUCAUUGUUCUCGGUGGAGAUCAGUUUUAGUUUAUCCCCAAAUCUCCAGUCUUCCGUGAUCCUCACCAGUUCGGGGUUUUGGUGAUGAGACACCGGUCCUGCUUCUCCUGAAGUUUGACGCCUCAUCGCCCAUGGCGCACAACCAGAUGACUGUAUUUAUUUUAGAGAAUUUAUUGCUUUUUAUUAGCCACUUAUUGCAGAGACACACAGAUCGCCGGCGCUGGCUCUCCCCGCUUUCUUUCUCUGUCUCUCGCACUCUCUCUCUCUCUUUCUGUGUGUGGUAUUAUUGCUGUCCGUAUGUUUUUUCAGCAGAGCUCAAAUUUCCAAGCAAUUUCCAUUAAAGUACUCAGUCUAUCGUGGUUCGUGUAGAGCUACAGCAUCUCUGUGCGUACACCAAGCGCAGAAGUCUUCAGCAAUUCCUCGGUGGAGAUAUUUUUCUUCUUCUUCUUCUUCUUCUUCUUCUUCUUCUUCUUCUUCUUCUUCUUCUUCUUCUUCUUCUUCUUCUUCUUUUUAACUAAAAGGCUUAACAGGACUCAGAAGCUUAUCUUUAAUAGAUCAGGAUGCUGAAGAAAGGUUGGACAUAUCCAAAAGGCAUAAGCGAUCCUUUGCUGUCCAGAUUUUCUCUGCUUCAGUUUUUCUUUCUUUCUUUUUUGUUUCUUUUUUCAGUCAGAAUGCAUCGUAAAAGGAGAGAAUUCAUAGUUGCGGUGGUUCAGUCAUCCUGUGCAGUGUGGGCCAUUAUCUCCCCAUCCUCAUAUUUGCUGGAGUUCGACGGCAAACACUGGCUUCACCACAGCACUCUCUCUCUUCUCUUUCUCUUUCUCUCCCCCCCUCCCUCUGUUCUGGUCCAUCCAGUCUCUAUAUGGUGGAUGGGUGGUUGCUCUCCUCAGUGAGCACUGUCAGCACUGGGGGGGAUUUAAACCAUUUAUUUGCACAUCCAUUAUGCUUUGCCCCCUGUCUGCUCACUUGGCAUUUCCGUGAGAGAAAACAAAAGCAACAAAUUGGCCAAAUC